RNAcentral lists this ribosomal RNA (441 nucleotides) under uncultured bacterium. RNAcentral describes it as "partial 16S ribosomal RNA". It matches the Rfam family "Bacterial small subunit ribosomal RNA", at positions 28 to 507 of the family's 1533-position model. The record is from RNAcentral.
GAUGAACGCUGGCGGCGUGCCUAAUACAUGCAAGUCGAACGGGGAGUAGCAAUACUCUUAGUGGCGAACGGGUGAGUAACGCGUUGGUACCUGCCCCGAAGCGGGGGAUAACGGACCGAAAGGUCCGCUAAUACCCCAUGUGCUCGGUAACGAGUAAAGGUGAAAACCACUUUGGGAGGGGCAUGCGUCCCAUCAGCUAGUUGGUAAGGUAACGGCUUACCAAGGCGAUGACGGGUAGGGGACCUGAGAGGGUGGCCCCCCACAAUGGAACUGAAACACGGUCCAUACACCUACGGGUGGCAGCAGUAGGGAAUAUUGGGAAUGGGCGCAAGCCUGAACCAGCAACGCCGCGUGUGCGAUGACGGCCUUCGGGUUGUAAAGCACUUUUGACUGGGACGAGGAAGGACGGUACCGGUCGAAUCAGCCUCGGCUAACUACGUG